UAGGGAAUCUUCGGCAAUGGGGGCAACCCUGACCGAGCAACGCCGCGUGAGUGAAGAAGGUUUUCGGAUCGUAAAGCUCUGUUGUAAGUCAAGAACGAGUGUGAGAGUGGAAAGUUCACACUGUGACGGUAGCUUACCAGAAAGGGACGGCUAACUACGUGCCAGCAGCCGCGGUAAUACGUAGGUCCCGAGCGUUGUCCGGAUUUAUUGGGCGUAAAGCGAGCGCAGGCGGUUUGAUAAGUCUGAAGUUAAAGGCUGUGGCUCAACCAUAGUUCGCUUUGGAAACUGUCAAACUUGAGUGCAGAAGGGGAGAGUGGAAUUCCAUGUGUAGCGGUGAAAUGCGUAGAUAUAUGGAGGAACACCGGUGGCGAAAGCGGCUCUCUGGUCUGUAACUGACGCUGAGGCUCGAAAGCGUGGGGAGCGAACAGGAUUAGAUACCCUGGUAGUCCACGCCGUAAGCGAUGAGUGCUAGGUGUUGGAUCCUUUCCGGGAUUCAGUGCCGCAGCUAACGCAUUAAGCACUCCGCCUGGGGAGUACGACCGCAAGGUUG
This 550-nucleotide ribosomal RNA is filed under the name uncultured bacterium. RNAcentral's name for it is "bacterial SSU rRNA". It matches the Rfam family "Bacterial small subunit ribosomal RNA", at positions 355 to 896 of the family's 1533-position model. The record is from RNAcentral.